RNAcentral lists this long non-coding RNA (1034 nucleotides) under Dromaius novaehollandiae (emu). RNAcentral describes it as "lncRNA (ENSDNVG00000011177.1)". Lineage: Eukaryota; Metazoa; Chordata; Aves; Casuariiformes; Dromaiidae. The record is from RNAcentral.
CGGAGAAGGUGGCACCGUGGGGACAUCGCGUAACAGCAGGAAGCGGGCGAGGGGGACAGCGGCCAUCACCUCACCUCUGGCCACCCCCAGGGUCUCCCCGGCUCCGGCAAGCCCCCCRUCACCUUAACUCCGCCCACCAAAGCGGGACCCAAGCAGCGGAGCGACAGGGUGACAGCGGAGCCUUGUCCCCGCCGGGUCCCCGAGGGCGGGAGGAGUUGGGGACCCGGGUGGGGGGGUGUCGGGGUCACCUGACGCCUGUGGGCGGAGCCCUGGGAGGAAGGAGGUGGAGGAGACCGGGGGCAACUCGGCCUUGACUGGGUCGGGCUCAAACCACCUCCCAACGGUCAACGUCAACCCAACGGGAAGAGGCUGAUCCACCAAUGGGCAACCUCGGUGGGGAACAGGCCAAUCGGAGAACGCCUGGUUGAUCGGCACCCAGCCAAUCACCAACAGUCACUCCAGGUCUUCAGGGACCCAAGCGGGAAGAUGGAAACGCAACCAUAAGCCAAGUCUUGAAGGGGCCAAUCGGAAGAGGCCGAGCUCUGGGCCGAGCCAAUCACCACGGCCGAGCAAAGCCUGGAAGAACCCAACUAGGAGAGGUCGACCAAAGCCAAAACCAAUGCAGCCACCACCAGCCAAUCGCUGUCUUGAUUGAAGCAACCGAAGGCCAAACACCUCUCCACCAACCGGAAGAGGCCAAUCCAGGCCCGCCCCAAGGCGGCCACCAAUGGUCAAGCCUGGAUCCGGAUCAAGCCGCUCCCCAAUGGCCCAAUCCGGUCUCGACCAACUCAGCUCAGGUCUUAACAGGCCAAUCCGGCCACCAAUGGCCAACGCAGGUCUACAACAGGCCAAUGAGAAGGCACCAACCAAAGGCUGGUCCCAACGAACCAAUGGCAGUGAUGACCAACCUCACGUCUGGACCAGGCAACCACCAAUGGUCAACCCAGCUCUGCAACAGACCAAUGAGACGAGGCCAAGCCAAGCCUGGGCCAACCCAACUAACCAAUGGUCAACCAAGUCUUGACCGGCUCUAA